CAGAGGCGUGAGGGUUGUCGCUGACCUUUCUAAAAGGUCGUGCACGCCCGAGCGCUCUCAAUCCAUUUCACCCUUUGUGCAUCACCGCGCGGGGUCGCUCCCUCUUGGCUCGCUUCGAGAGGGGGAGGCUCGCGUUUUUCACACAUAAACACCCUUAUAGUUUAGAAUGUCAUUCAUUUGCGAUCACACGCAAUCAAUACAACUUUCAACAACGGAUCUCUUGGCUCUCGCAUCGAUGAAGAACGCAGCGAAAUGCGAUACGUAAUGUGAAUUGCAGAAUUCAGUGAAUCAUCGAAUCUUUGAACGCAUCUUGCGCCCCUUGGUAUUCCGAGGGGCACACCCGUUUGAGUGUCGUGAAAUUCUCAAACCUUCUUGGUUUCUUGAUCAAGAUGGCUUUGGACUUUGGAGGCAUUUUGCUGGCUUUGCGAAAAGCCAGCUCCUCUCAAAUACAUUAGUGGGGUCCCCUUUGCCGAUCCCCAGGCGUGAUAAGAUGUUUCUACGUCUUGGGAUUUGCUCUGUUCCUUGGGAACCCGCUUCUAACCGUCUCAUGGGAGACACCGUUCGAGUUUGCUCGACGCACGAACCUUGACCUCAAAUCGGGUGAGACUACCCGCUGAACUUAAGCAUAUCAU
Molecule: ribosomal RNA, 632 nt
Filed under: uncultured fungus
Lineage: Eukaryota; Fungi
Description: eukaryotic LSU rRNA
Rfam family: 5.8S ribosomal RNA (bases 201-354)
Source: RNAcentral